GGUUGACCCGCCGGACCCCACUGCUAUCGAGAUGGGAUUAAGGUAUGCUAGUCGAACGACCAGAACUAUGUCUGGAAGUGGCACACUGCUCAGUAACACGUAGCUAACCUACCCUUAGGACGUGGAUACCCCCGAGAAAUUGGGGUUAAUCCGCGAUAGAUGUAAUGUCCUGGAAUGGUAUUACGUCUAAAGGUAUUUCAUACAUGUUUGAAAUAUGCCUAAGGAUGGGGCUGCGGCCGAUCAGGCUGUUGGUGAGGUAAUGGCUCACCAAACCUUUGACCGGUACGGGCCAUGAGAGUGGUAGCCCGGAGAUGGACACUGAGACAAGGGUCCAGGCCCUAAGGGGCGCAGCAACCGCGAAACCUCCACAAUGCACUCACGUGCGAUGGGGCUAUCUCGAGUGCCACCUGAUGAAGGUGGCUUUUCCUUGGUCUUCAAAGCCUUGGGAAUAAGAGGGGGGCAAGACUGGUGUCAGCCGCCGCGGUAACACCAGCCCCUCGAGUGGUGGGGAUGAUUAUUUGGCCUAAAGCGUCCGUAGCCGGCCGAGCAAGUCUUCCGUUAAAUCCAGCGUCUCAAGCGUUGGACCGCGGGAGAUACUACACGGCUAGAGAGUGGGAGAGGUCAGCGGUAUUCUGGGGGUAGGGGCGAAAUCCUUUGAUCCCCGGAGGACCACCAGUGGCGAAGGCUGCUGACUAGAACACGUCUGACGGUCAGGGACGAAAGCUGGGGUAGCGAACCGGAUUAGAUACCCGGGUAGUCCCAGCCGUAAACGAUACAUGCUAGGUGUUGGGUUGGCCACGAGCCACCCCAGUGCCGCAGGGAAGCCGUUAAGCAUGCCGCCUGGGAAGUACGAUCGCAAGAUUGAA
RNAcentral lists this ribosomal RNA (866 nucleotides) under uncultured archaeon. RNAcentral describes it as "bacterial SSU rRNA". It matches the Rfam family "Archaeal small subunit ribosomal RNA", at positions 6 to 853 of the family's 1478-position model. The record is from RNAcentral.